Molecule: long non-coding RNA, 458 nt
Organism: Eriocheir sinensis (Chinese mitten crab)
Lineage: Eukaryota; Metazoa; Arthropoda; Malacostraca; Decapoda; Varunidae
Exons: 3
Source: RefSeq, a predicted model, not a curated record
UGUGCUUGGGAGAGGCUUAGUGAGGCAGACUAUGGUGAUGCCAAGGUUAUUUACUUUGUUGAAUCUCGUCGACUACGGACACAGCUGAGGUGGACCUCCGCUGCUUCCCACUGGCUCCUCUCCUCUUGUUGAAGGGAAACAACAAAGGAGAAGGGAGGAACAUGCCAUCCCAACCCCCAGGCAGUACAGAGUGUGAUUAUACAACUAGUAAUACAUGUGGAGGCAGUACCAAGAAACGAUAAAGACACAAUGGCAGGAAUGAAUGCACAACAAGGGAGGGGGGCGGUACCUGCCGGCCUCCCCCUGGGCAAUGAUGAUGUGCUGUCCGUGGCAGUGUUCACCCACGAGGCGCCCCAGCUGGUGAUGCUGUGCCGGGUGUGUUGUUCCCUGAGCAGUAAUUAUGCUGUGCUCCAGCACUGGCGGCAGUGCUUCCAGACAGUGGCGUAUAUAGAUCCAUG